RNAcentral lists this ribosomal RNA (403 nucleotides) under uncultured bacterium. Its description in RNAcentral is "partial 16S ribosomal RNA". It matches the Rfam family "Bacterial small subunit ribosomal RNA", at positions 30 to 526 of the family's 1533-position model. The record is from RNAcentral.
AUUGAACGCUGGCGGCAGGCCUAACACAUGCAAGUCGAGCGAGCGGCGGACGGGUGUGAAAUGUAUGGGGACUGCCCGAUAGAGGGGGAACACUACUGGACACGGUCGCUAAUCCCGCAUACUAUCGUAUCACCCAUAUGGGAUUCGCUAGUGGGUGGGGUAAAGGCUCACGUAGGCGACGAUCUCUAGCUGGUCUGAGAGGAUGAUCAGCCACACUGGGACUGAGACACGGCCCAGACUCCUACGGAGGCAGCAGUGGGGAAUAUUGCACAAUGGGCGCAAGCCUGAUGCAGCCAUGCCGCGUGUAUGAAGAAGGCCUUAGGGUUGUAAAGUACUUUCAGCCGGGAGGCUUUACCGGCAGAAGAAGCACCGGCUAACUCCGUGCCAGCAGCCGCGGUAAUAC